RNAcentral lists this ribosomal RNA (186 nucleotides) under Ochrobactrum sp. KK16. Its description in RNAcentral is "partial 16S ribosomal RNA". It matches the Rfam family "Bacterial small subunit ribosomal RNA", at positions 91 to 292 of the family's 1533-position model. The record is from RNAcentral. Lineage: Bacteria; Pseudomonadati; Pseudomonadota; Alphaproteobacteria; Hyphomicrobiales; Brucellaceae.
GGGAGCGGCAAACAGGGUGAGUAACGCGUGGGAACGUACCUUUUGCUACGGAAUAACUCAGGGAAAACUUGUGCUAAUACCGUAUGUGCCCUUCGGGGGAAAGAUUUAUCGGCAAAGGAUCGGCCCGCGUUGGAUUAGCUAGUUGGUGAGGUAAAGGCUCACCAAGGCGACGAUCCAUAGCUGGUC